RNAcentral lists this ribosomal RNA (440 nucleotides) under uncultured bacterium. Its description in RNAcentral is "partial 16S ribosomal RNA". It matches the Rfam family "Bacterial small subunit ribosomal RNA", at positions 338 to 795 of the family's 1533-position model. The record is from RNAcentral.
CCUACGGGAGGCAGCAGUGGGGAAUAUUGCACAAUGGGGGAGACCCUGAUGCAGCGACGCCGCGUGAGUGAAGAAGUACUUCGUUAUGUAAAGCUCUAUUUGCAGGGAAGUAAAUGACGGUACCUGAGUAAGAAGCCACGGCUAACUACGUGCCAGCAGCCGCGGGAAUACGGAGGGGGCAAGCGUUAUCCGGAUUUACUGGGGGUAAAGGGAGCGUAGACGGUAGUGCAAGUCAGUAGUGAAAGGCUGGGGCUCAACCUGCGGACUGCACUUGAAACUGGACGGCUGGAGUGCAGGAGAGGUAAGCGGAAUUCCUAGUGUAGCGGUGAAAUGCGUAGAUAUUAGGAGGAACUCCAGUGGCGAAGGCGGCUUACUGGACUGUAACUGACGUUGAGGCUCGAAAGCGUGGGGAGCAAACAGGAUUAGAUACCCUAGUAGUC